UAGCUAGUUGGUGGGGUAAGGGCCUACCAAGGCGACGAUCGGUAGCUGGUCUGAGAGGAUGACCGGCCACACUGGAACUGAGACACGGUCCAGACUCCUACGGGAGGCAGCAGUGGGGAAUAUUGGACAAUGGGGGGAACCCUGAUCCAGCAAUGCCGCGUGUGUGAAGAAGGCCUGAGGGUUGUAAAGCACUUUCAGUAGGGAGGAGAGNAAUUAGGUUAAGAGCUAGAUUACUGGACGUUACCUACAGAAGAAGCACCGGCUAACUCCGUGCCAGCAGCCGCGGUAAUACGGAGGGUGCGAGCGUUAAUCGGAAUUACUGGGCGUAAAGGGUGCGUAGGUGGGUAAUUAAGUUAUGUGUAAAAUCCCUGGGCUCAACCUGGGCAGGUCAUAUAAUACUGAUUGACUCGAGUAUGGGAGAGGGUAGUGGAAUUUCCGGUGUAGCGGUGAAACGCGUAGAGAUCGGAAGGAACACCAGUGGCGAAGGCGGCUACCUGGCCUAAUACUGACACUGAGGCACGAAAGCGUGGGGAGCAAACAGGAUUAGAUACCCUGGUAGUCCACGCUGUAAACGAUGUCAACUAGCUGUUGGUUAUAUGAAAAUAAUUAGUGGCGC
Molecule: ribosomal RNA, 616 nt
Filed under: uncultured Legionella sp.
Lineage: Bacteria; Pseudomonadati; Pseudomonadota; Gammaproteobacteria; Legionellales; Legionellaceae
Description: bacterial SSU rRNA
Rfam family: Bacterial small subunit ribosomal RNA
Source: RNAcentral